GAAAAAGGUGCAAGAGUUAAAGAUGUCCUACAUGGUUAUAAACGCCAAUAUCUAUUGGCAGCAAAGACAAGCAAAAUUUUAGCCUCCAUUGGAGAAUCCGCCAAGAGCCAACCUCAACCACAAGAGUUCAAAGACAAUUCGGUUGAAGUUCAGAAAAUAAAGAAAGAAGGUUUGGUUGAGUUAGAAAAUAAAGGCAAGAAUGGCAUAGGUUCGGUUAAUGCUAAGUGAAGAAGAAAGCAGAAAGAGUAAGCUCGGUUGAAUAGCCAUUGGUGUCUCGGAUUUGGAGGGUUCCUUGGAGUCGUGUUUAUGGUGGGUCAAGCCAUAAAAGGUAAGAGGUUUGAGGUUUAAAUUUUAAGCAUUCACCAUGUUUAGAUGCUGGUUAAAAGGAGAUAUUUAAAUAAGCUAGGAAUUUAUGAAUUCUAUUGUGAAUACUAUUGCAAUGAAGUUAGAAAAAGAAGGAUGAGCUUGUUGGAAAUUUGGAUUAAGGUCUCGAACCAGAGGUUACUGUUGAAGUUAAUUAGCUCUUAAAGAUUCGGCUAAGAGAACCUGCCAAAGACUUGUAAUUAGCAUCGACAAGCUCACUAAAGGUUGAAUUAUUGCUGAGAAAUCCCACCAAUUGAGAUUGAUGAUUUUAUAAGUGAGAUACUUGAUAGUAGACCUACUAUCACACCAGGCUAUGUGACCUUUGUGCACAAAGGAGCUCUAACUCGGGGAUGCCUAUGGGCUUAUUAAUUCCAUAUGUGACAAAGACUACAGGAUUACAUACGUGAUGAGCUCUACUUAUUGCCAUCACCCUUGAUCAUGAUCAUGGUUACAUUGAUACGUGGUAAUACCACGAGUUUAAUGACAUGGCUGGGGCCACAGGUAAGUGUAGUUGGACAUACUUAUUAUGUGGGAGAAGGCCUGCGGGUUUAAAGUCUUACUCAAGAUUUGUUUGCUUUACCUAUUUUAAUAUUGACUAUGGCAUGGUAUUGAUUGCCAUAAAUCUGUUUAUUUCAUGGCAAGAGCUUAUUGUAUUUGAUUUGAUUAAAGUCUAAGUAUGUAUUUGAUUACGCAUUGAAACUGUUUUAUGCUUACCAGGAGAAAGGAAUGAAAUUGUGAUGUUUAGCAUGCUUUCAUUU
Molecule: long non-coding RNA, 1121 nt
Organism: Theobroma cacao (cacao)
Lineage: Eukaryota; Viridiplantae; Streptophyta; Magnoliopsida; Malvales; Malvaceae
Source: RefSeq, a predicted model, not a curated record